GGCUGCUCCAAGUGCAGCAGUGUUUACAACUAAUUGAUACAACAAGUUACAAAUUUCUUUGUUGCUUCUUCAUUCCCACUGCUUCACUUGGCUAGCCUUAA
This 101-nucleotide Y RNA is filed under the name Rhinopithecus roxellana (golden snub-nosed monkey). Its description in RNAcentral is "Y RNA (ENSRROG00000003777.1)". It matches the Rfam family "Y RNA". From Rfam's summary of the family: Y RNAs are components of the Ro ribonucleoprotein particle (Ro RNP), in association with Ro60 and La proteins. The Y RNAs and Ro60 and La proteins are well conserved, but the function of the Ro RNP is not known. Lineage: Eukaryota; Metazoa; Chordata; Mammalia; Primates; Cercopithecidae. The record is from Rfam by way of RNAcentral.